CCCGGCCUCGCCUCACAGCGGCUCAACAUUCAAACUUCCAUCACGGCUGCAGCUUCUGAGAGGAGAGCAUCUUCUAGGAUCAUGUAGUCGGAGAUUAAAAAGAGUUCUACUUUUUCCUUUCCAACCUGGAAGCCUUUUAUUGCAAUUUCUUAUCUGACUGUACUGUCUGAUAUCUCCAGUGCAAGGUUGAAUAAAAGUAGUGAAAACAGACAUUGUUACUUUGCUACCAAAAUUAUAGGCAAAGCAUUCAGUCUUUUGAAGCUUUCAUGUUUAAGUCUUUCUAGUAGACUGGAGCCUCUAAGA
RNAcentral lists this long non-coding RNA (303 nucleotides) under Homo sapiens (human). Its description in RNAcentral is "HSALNT0351694". The record is from RNAcentral. Lineage: Eukaryota; Metazoa; Chordata; Mammalia; Primates; Hominidae.